UAAACCCGCGCCCUUCAUCUUCUGCAACCUCACCACCACCUUCGCCGUUUUCACGCCUUCACCUUUGCUCACCACCACUCACCUUCGCUCACCAUUACUCACCGGCACCCUUCUCCUUCGUCUUCAUCUUCGCUCACCACUUACUGUCGCCGGUCCUCAUCUUCUUCACCUUCACCUUUGAUGCCCUAUACGUCGCGUACCCUGACCGUAGCGCCACUACCAGUGACGUUGUUAGCAGGACGAUUCUCCUUCUGCCACCGCGCUUCACUCUGUUCAUUGCCUCCACAAGAACGCGCCCGGGGUGUUCACGAUACUCACCAUCGUGACCUUUGUCUCACUCUGUAUCCUCUCUGAAUCUCUACAUCUAGAAUGGAGAUGCCUCAGGGGUUUAGGGGUUUUGAGAUGGUGCAUAUGAAUUUUUUAGGGGUUUUGAAUCUUCUAAUUUGUUUGUUCUAAGUUUUAGGGUUUUGAUUUUUAUUGUUUUGAAUUUUUUGUGUAUCUGAUUUUUUCCCGGCCAUUGCAGUUUGUCACUUCCUUCAUCCGUUCCUUGCGGCAUCAUUCACGUCGUCUUCUCUAUUCUCCAUUAGCGUCACGGCAUCUUCUCUCUUCUUCGCCGCAAGCGUCGCGUCGUUUACUCUUUUCUCCAUCGUGAGCGUCGCGUCUUGUCAUCUUCUUCUAUGGACUUGUUCGUCUUCUCCACCGAUGUAAUAGUUUCGUUCAUCAUUUCUGCUAGCACAACCUUACUUGUCGCUUUCUGCUCUGACUCCCUUCGUCUCUGCAUGAAGGGGAUUUUUAUUGCAUUGUUAGUUUUGGCUUGCAUGGCCUUCCUGCAGCUCGAGAGGUCCAACCAAUCAAACGUAAGAUAGAGUACUCAGCUCCUUCAAUAGGGUAUUGGAGGCAAGAGCUGGGUAUUAUGAAAAGCCAAUUGCUACAAUAGAUUUUGCAUCACUAUAUCCAUCUAUUAUGAUGGCCUAUAAUUUAUGUUAUUGUACCCUGGUGACUCCUGAAGAUGUUCGGAAACUUAAUCUCCCUCCAGAAUCAGUGAACAAAACUCCAUCUGGGGAAACAUUUGUUAAAUCAAAUUUGCAGAAGGCUAGUAUUGGAAUGGAUAACUUGAACGCUUAAUGCACAAAGUGGAGCAGUUUUAGGUUGAUUCUGAUCUUUUACUAAGUAUUUAGGCUGAUGAGCAUCUCUAUUAGUGUAAUUUGAAAUAUUGAGCAGUUUUAACUUGUAUUGUUUCUGUAUUUUUCUUCGAUUUUUAGUUUUGGAAUUUAAACUCGAAAUUUAUUUUGUAUUUGAAUAUUAGUUUUUUAAUGUAUAAAACAAUUAUAGUAAAUUAUAUAUGUCACUAAUUAUUGUUUGAUAUGUCUUGUAAUAAAAAUUGCAUAUUAUAUUUGUAGGUUUGGUAAUAAAAAAGGAUUGAAAAUUUAUAUUGUGUAGCAAUGAAGAUCAACUAAGGAACAGAAUUUUUUUUUUAAUUUAACAAUGCUUAAAGCGUGGCUGUAUAUUUUAAAGCGUGGCCGUAUCUCUUCCUAUCGUCACGUGUUAAAAGCGUGGCCAUACCUCCCCUUUUGCAACGCUUUAAAAGCGUCGACAUAUCUCGUCUACUGCCACGCUUGUAAAAGCGUGGCCAGAUCUGCAGUAUUGCCACGCUUUAACAGCGUGGCCAUAUCUCUACCUAUUGGCA
Molecule: RNA transcript, 1687 nt
Organism: Arachis duranensis
Lineage: Eukaryota; Viridiplantae; Streptophyta; Magnoliopsida; Fabales; Fabaceae
Gene name: DNA polymerase delta catalytic subunit-like
Exons: 5
Source: RefSeq, a predicted model, not a curated record